AAACUCUCGUUAAGGAACUCGGCAAAAUGACCCCGUAACUUCGGGAGAAGGGGUGCCCCGGUAGUGUGAAUAGCACGAGGGGGCCGCAGUGAAGAGGCCCAAGCGACUGUUUAGCAAAAACACAGGUCUGUGCGAAGCCGUAAGGCGAAGUAUACGGGCUGACGCCUGCCCGGUGCUGGAAGGUUAAGAGGAGUGGUUAGCCGCAAGGCGAAGCUAUGAAUUGAAGCCCCAGUAAACGGCGGCCGUAACAAUAACGGUCCUAAGGUAGCGAAAUUCCUUGUCAGGUAAAUUCUGACCCGCACGAAUGGCGUAACGACUUGGGCGCUGUCUCAACGAGAGAUCCGGUGAAAUUUUAGUACCUGUGAAGAUGCAGGUUACCCGCGACGUGACGGAAAGACCCCAUGGAGCUUUACUGUAGCUUGAUAUUGAACUUUGGUACGGUCUGUACAGGAUAGGUGGGAGCCUUUGAAGCAGGAGUGCAAGCUUCUGUGGAGGCGCCGUUGGGAUACCACCCUGAUCGUAUCGGAGUUCUAACUCGCUGCCCUUAUCGGGCAGGAGGACCGUGUCAGGCGGACAGUUUGACUGGGGCGGUCGCCUCCUAAAAUGUAACGGAGGCGCUCUAAGGUUCCCUCAGCGCGGUUGGAAAUCGCGCGCAGAGUGCAAGGGCAUAAGGGAGCUUGACUGCGAGACCUACAAGUCGAGCAGGGACGAAAGUCGGACUUAGUGAUCCGGUGGUACCGAAUGGAAGGGCCAUCGCUCAACGGAUAAAAGCUACCCUGGGGAUAACAGGCUUAUCUCCCCCAAGAGUCCACAUCGACGGGGAGGUUUGGCACCUCGAUGUCGGCUCAUCGCAUCCUGGGGCUGAAGUAGGUCCCAAGGGUUGGGCUGUUCGCCCAUUAAAGCGGUACGCGAGCUGGGUUCAGAACGUCGUGAGACAGUUCGGUCCCUAUCUGUCGCGGGCGUAGGAAAUUUGAGAGGGGCUGUCCUUAGUACGAGAGGACCGGGAUGGACGCACCGCUGGUGUACCAGUUGUUCCGCCAGGAGCAUCGCUGGGUAGCCAAGUGCGGAAGGGAUAAGCGCUGAAAGCAUCUAAGCGCGAAGCCUGCCUCAAGAUGAGAUUUCCCAAUUCGUAAGACCCCUGGAAGAACACCAGGUUGAUAGGCUCGGGGUGGAAGCGCGGUAACGUGUGCAGCUGACGAGUACUAAUCGGUCGAGGCUUAUCC
This 1223-nucleotide ribosomal RNA is filed under the name metagenome. RNAcentral's name for it is "bacterial LSU rRNA". It matches the Rfam family "Bacterial large subunit ribosomal RNA", at positions 1696 to 2925 of the family's 2925-position model. The record is from RNAcentral.